GAUGAAGAACGUAGCGAACUGCGAUAAGUAAUGUGAAUUGCAGAAUUCAGUGAAUCAUCGAGUCUUUGAACGCACAUUGCGCCCCCUGGCAUUCCGGGGGGCAUGCCUGUCCGAGCGUCAUUACAACCCUCAAGCUCAGCUUGGUGUUGGGCCCCGCCGCCCCGGCGGGCCCUAAAGUCAGUGGCGGUGCCGUCCGGCUCCGAGCGUAGUAAUUCUUCUCGCUCUGGAGGUCCGGUCGUGUGCUCGCCAGCAACCCCCAAUUUUUUUCAGGUUGACCUCGGAUCAGGUAGGGAUACCCGCUGAACUUAAGCAUAUCAAUAAGCGGAGGA
RNAcentral lists this unclassified non-coding RNA (329 nucleotides) under soil metagenome. Its description in RNAcentral is "partial contains 5.8S ribosomal RNA, internal transcribed spacer 2, and large subunit ribosomal RNA". The stretch from base 1 to 120 matches the Rfam family "5.8S ribosomal RNA", at positions 35 to 154 of the family's 154-position model. The record is from RNAcentral.